RNAcentral lists this ribosomal RNA (253 nucleotides) under uncultured bacterium. Its description in RNAcentral is "partial 16S ribosomal RNA". It matches the Rfam family "Bacterial small subunit ribosomal RNA", at positions 524 to 776 of the family's 1533-position model. The record is from RNAcentral.
UACAGAGACUGCAAGCGCUAUUCGGAUUCACUGGGCGUAAAGGGUGCGCAGGCGGCCGUGUGUGUGAGGCGUGAAAGCCCGGGGCUUAACCCCGGAAUUGCACCUCAAACUACAUGGCUAGAGCAUUGGAGAGGGUAGCGGAAUUCACGGUGUAGCAGUGAAAUGCGUAGAUAUCGUGAGGAACACCAGAGGCGAAGGCGGCUACCUGGACAAUUGCUGACGCUCAGGCACGAAAGCGUGGGGAGCAAAAGGG